CUACUUGGUUUAUCUCAACAUGCAGCAUAGACACAUCAGCAUCCAGCUACGUGACACCUCAUGCAGUCCCACAUAGCUGACCUCUUCAGGUCUCACCACAUGCAGACCAUCCACGUAUUUGCCAGCUCAGAAAAAUAUUUAGUUUUCUUUUAUGAUAAUCACCGAUUGAUUACUUACUCCUUGCUCCACGCGGCCAACCAUAAUUUAGUCCCAGCGUUUCGGUGUCCCUAUCUCUCCCUAAUUUACUCUCCCCCUAAUUGAUUUGCCGUGGCUCUCUUUAUCUUCCACGGUAGGUCAUCAUCUCCCCAAUAAACUCUCCUGCCAAUUGAUUUUUCAUGGAUCUCUUUACCUUCUACGGCAGAUUAUCUCCAUCCUUCCACCAAACAAACACAACCUGGAGAUGCAGACCUUGAGGCCCUGCGCCAUGGAGAGGAUGGUCAACAUGGUUACUUGACGAAGUGGCCCUCCACAAGCCCAAACCUGAAGAACCUGCACAGGAUGGCAGCACCAUCUUCAUCUGCAGAACGUGCAGUCGUCGCCGAUCCACCGCUCAGGCCAGAAUCUGGCUGUCUUGGGGCCCAGUUGUACUCCAUCCGCCCCAUGGAGUUGGGCAGUAAUUCAUCAUCCACCGACACGUAUCUUGGUGUCGUCCGGGAAGACCUUUCCUUCGAUGGCGCCGUUGACCUCGCCUACGAGCCGUUAUAGUAUUGGCGAAAUUUGGAGUUCCUACAAGUUAUUAAGUAUUGGGCGAAAUUUGGAGUUCCUUAUGUGCCUCCCACGCUCACGCCAUCCGAUUCAUGUCAGGGAGGUUCUUACCAAAUGUCUCCACACAAGCUUUGUGGAUUGGAACUAGGAGUGCAAAUUAGUUUUCUCUAUUAAGGAUUUGAUAGUGAAGGUGGUCCUAUAACCUAUUUCCACUUGACUUUAAAAAAUUUUGAAGGCGCCCUUGCUGAUUUUAUUAAUGCUUCCUGCUCAAGUAGCAAGUGAUUGAUAUGUUGCUCUCACUUAGAUCAUCGUAUCUUGCAGGCACCUUCUUCUUUCUUCUUUUAAUUGCAAUAUAAAUUGGAUCUCUCAGUUGUGAAAUGCCAUCGUCUCUACUUAUCCUCUACAGGCACAAUUGUACUGUUUUGUGUCCAAUCUCAGUAUGCCAUUUGAAUUUUGUAUAGCUUGCAUAGUCCCAGAUUCAUUAGCUCAUUCCAAUAUUUUUUAAUAGCUUACAUAUUAUCAUUUGCAUGACUAAGUAUGAGGGCACUAUCAUCCCUUCCUUCCAAGUAUUGGCCGCUACUAUUUGCAUUAGCUUUGCCCCAGAACAUAUCCCUUAUUGCACUUUGACAGAGCAAGUACAGAGAUCUCAUUAAUGGUCAGUUAUACAUUAUUGUAGAUGUUCUUUGAUUUACAAAGACAAGGACCUCCUACUAUUGAUGCUUCCUAAGCAUCGUUUCUACCAUUUGUUAUCUCAUAUUAUGUUGAUGAGUAGAUACAAUUAUCUGUUGUAACACCUAUGUCUACACUUGCUGGCAUUUGCUUAUGUAACACCUACCUGGCUAUAUAUUGUAGGACUUAUGUACUAAAAUGCAGAAGAUUGAUUUACAACAAGAGUCACAAACAAUACACAAUAAGUAUCUCAAAAACUACAAUUUGUAGAUAACCUUUCAUGUUGUCUCCAUUUUAGAAUCUUGGUUCUUGAUGUGUAUAUAUAGCAUUGGUUUAUAUGUAAAUCAGAUGAGAUAAUUAUGCCAUGCCACUAUAUUUAAUAAAAACAUCACAUAAUACACAUUCUGCUAUCUUUAUAAUUAUACUCCAAGAAUUGUGUUCAUUUCAGCUAUUUCAUCUUAAGAUCAUAUAUCUACUACUACAACAACAACAACAACAAAGCCUUUAGUCCCAAACAAGUUGGGGUAGGCUAGAGGUGAAAACCAUAAGAUCUCGCAACCA
RNA transcript from Triticum dicoccoides, 1935 nucleotides. RefSeq lists it as uncharacterized. The transcript is spliced from 4 exons. The record is from RefSeq and is a predicted model, not a curated record. Lineage: Eukaryota; Viridiplantae; Streptophyta; Magnoliopsida; Poales; Poaceae.